GGAGUCAACAUUCAAUGGAAGUUUGAGUCUCGAUAACAGAAGUACUGAUCUCGUAAAAAAGUAAUGUAGUUUUGUGGCGCACUCUACGUUUGAGUGUUCUUCGCGUUCUUAUUCCUCGUUUGUAGUUCAAUCACGUCUAUCAAUCUCGAUAAAUAUUAUAACAAUAAAUUUUAUCAAUUGUCACAGUUUGUUGUAAAAACGAAUGGAACUUGUUACAUUACAGAAAUCUAAGAAUAGAUGAAACUUGAAAUACUUUUGUAACGAUACUAAACUAUCAUUAGCAGCUGAGCAGAAUAACUCUACAGAGUACACUCGGUUUAAAUGAGUACGUUCAUAUUGUCAGGCCUGCAGGGUACGUACGAACCGCAGUGUGCUAAACUCACUGAUUGAAAAAAAUAGAAGGUCCAUCUUUCGGCUCUUUUGUCUUCGAUUUGGCUGAUGCAGACAUUGGCGUUGUUAACUUCAGGGAUUUGUCUGGGCAGGAGAUCCAAGAUCAGUAAGUCCUAACCAUAUAAGUUCUGAUAAAGGUGAUAAUGGAAGAGGCAGUGUUCGACUACGUAAUGUUAGACCACAAAUUUGAAUCCACAAUAAACUCAUACACUGAUCACCUGAUGCUCCUA
Hylaeus volcanicus is the source of this 620-nucleotide long non-coding RNA. RefSeq lists it as uncharacterized. NCBI's taxonomy places the organism in Eukaryota, Metazoa, Arthropoda, Insecta, Hymenoptera, Colletidae. The record is from RefSeq and is a predicted model, not a curated record. The transcript has 3 exons.